This is a small nuclear RNA of 159 nucleotides. Its record names the gene U2. It matches the Rfam family "U2 spliceosomal RNA". Rfam says of the family: U2 is a small nuclear RNA (snRNA) component of the spliceosome (involved in pre-mRNA splicing). Complementary binding between U2 snRNA (in an area lying towards the 5' end but 3' to hairpin I) and the branchpoint sequence (BPS) of the intron results the bulging out of an unpaired adenosine, on the BPS, which initiates a nucleophilic attack at the intronic 5' splice site, thus starting the first of two transesterification reactions that mediate splicing. The record is from Ensembl.
AUCGCUUCUCGGCCUUUUGGCUAAGAUCAAGUGUAGAAGUUCUGUCCUUUUUACAUCAGCCAAUCAAGGUUACAGCAAAAUUACAUUACCCAUGAUGGGGGAGAACAGUUGUCCUAUUCUUUUUCUGGACCUUCUUUCAUUCAGUCAAGAAACACUUAC